AAGGGAGCUUGCUCCUGGAUUCAGCGGCGGACGGGUGAGUAAUGCCUAGGAAUCUGCCUGGUAGUGGGGGAUAACGUUCCGAAAGGAACGCUAAUACCGCGUACGUCCUACGGGAGAAAGCAGGGGACCUUCGGGCCUUGCGCUAUCAGAUGAGCCUAGGUCGGAUUAGCUAGUUGGUGAGGUAAUGGCUCACCAAGGCGACGAUCCGUAACUGGUCUGAGAGGAUGAUCAGUCACACUGGAACUGAGACACGGUCCAGACUCCUACGGGAGGCAGCAGUGGGGAAUAUUGGACAAUGGGCGAAAGCCUGAUCCAGCCAUGCCGCGUGUGUGAAGAAGGUCUUCGGAUUGUAAAGCACUUUAAGUUGGGAGGAAGGGCUGUAGGCUAAUAUCCUGCGGUUUUGACGUUACCAACAGAAUAAGCACCGGCUAACUUCGUGCCAGCAGCCGCGGUAAUACGAAGGGUGCAAGCGUUAAUCGGAAUUACUGGGCGUAAAGCGCGCGUAGGUGGUUCGUUAAGUUGGAUGUGAAAGCCCCGGGCUCAACCUGGGAACUGCAUCCAAAACUGGCGAGCUAGAGUACGGUAGAGGGUAGUGGAAUUUCCUGUGUA
RNAcentral lists this ribosomal RNA (609 nucleotides) under Pseudomonas sp. 22-38. RNAcentral describes it as "bacterial SSU rRNA". It matches the Rfam family "Bacterial small subunit ribosomal RNA", at positions 72 to 677 of the family's 1533-position model. The record is from RNAcentral. Lineage: Bacteria; Pseudomonadati; Pseudomonadota; Gammaproteobacteria; Pseudomonadales; Pseudomonadaceae.